This 73-nucleotide transfer RNA is filed under the name Ixodes scapularis (black-legged tick). It matches the Rfam family "tRNA". Rfam says of the family: Transfer RNA (tRNA) molecules are approximately 80 nucleotides in length. Their secondary structure includes four short double-helical elements and three loops (D, anti-codon, and T loops). The record is from Rfam by way of RNAcentral. Lineage: Eukaryota; Metazoa; Arthropoda; Arachnida; Ixodida; Ixodidae.
UCCUGGUUAGCUCAGUUGGUAGAGCGCUCCAUUGGAGAUGGAGAGAUCCCUGGUUUGAUAUUAGGGGCAGGCG